UUAAGCUAGAAAGGGCAUACGGUGGAUGCCUAGGCACUAAGAGUCGAAGAAGGACGCGGUAAGCUGCGAAAAGCUGUGAGGAGCUGCAAGCAAGCUGAGAAUCACAGAUAUCCGAAUGGGACAACCCGUCAGUGAUAAUACGCUGACAUCGUAUAUUGAGUCAAGUAGAUAUACGAAGACAACCCGGGGAACUGAAACAUCUAAGUACCCGGAGGAAAAGAAAGCAAAAGCGAUUCCCCCAGUAGCGGCGAGCGAAAAGGGAACAGCCCAAACCGAUUCUUCGGAAUCGGGGUAGAGGACUUCCAAAAAGAAUGGAUGGUUAGCAGAAUGAUCUGGGAAGGUCAGUCGAAGAAGGUAAUAACCCUGUAUGCGAAAGCCAGAAAUUUGGGGAAGGAUCCGGAGUACCACGAAGCACGUGAAAUUUCGUGGGAAGCAGGGGGGACCACCCUCCAAGGCUAAAUACUCCUUAGUGACCGAUAGUGAACAAGUACCGUGAGGGAAAGGUGAAAAGAACCCCGGAAGGGGAGUGAAAAAGAACCUGAAACCGUAUGCUUACAAGCUGUCACAGCACCAUACGAGUGUAGUGGCGUACUUUUUGUAGAACGGACCGGCGAGUUACGAUGUCAAGCGAGGUUAAGAUGAGAAGUCGGAGCCGAAGCGAAAGCGAGUCUGAAGAGGGCGAAAGUUUGACAUAGUAGACCCGAAACCGGGUGAUCUACCCAUGAGCAGGAUGAAGCGUUAGUAAAAUAACGUGGAGGUCCGAACCAGGUAUCGUUGAAAAGAUAUUGGAUGACUUGUGGGUAGGGGUGAAAUUCCAAUCGAACCCGGAGAUAGCUGGUUCUCCUCGAAAUAGCUUUAGGGCUAGCCUUGAAUUAGAUUAUGGGAGGUAGAGCACUGAAUAGGCUAGGGGGCUUCACCGCCUACCGAACCUUAUCAAACUACGAAUGCCGAUAAUUGAUGUUCAGGAGUCAGACUGUGGGGGAUAAGCUUCAUGGUCAAAAGGGAAACAGCCCAGACCGCCGGCUAAGGUCCCAAAGUGUGUGUUAAGUGGAAAAGGAUGUGAAAUCGCUCAGACAACCAGGAUGUUGGCUCAGAAGCAGCCACCAUUAAAAGAGUGCGUAAUAGCUCACUGGUCCAGGGGUUUUGCGCCGAAAAUGUAACGGGGCUCAAACACACCACCGAAGCCGCGGAAUGUUUAAGGACAUUGGUAGAGGAGCGUUCUUAAUGCGACGAAGGCGUACCGAGAGGAGCGUUGGAGCGUUAAGAAGUGAGAAUGCCGGUAUUAGUAUGCGAAAAGGCAGGUGAGAAUCCUGCCCGCCGAAAAUCUAAGGAUUCCUGGGGAAGGCUCGUCCGCCCAGGGUAAGUCGGGACCUAAGGCGAGGCCGAAAGGCGUAGUCGAUGGGAAACUGGUAGAUAUUCCAGUACCAGCGGAGGUCAAUUGAGUGAAGUAGUGAAGCAGAAGGAUAGGGAGAGCGCCCAGUUGGUGAGGCGUUUAAGUAAGUAGGGUGAUGUGCAGGCAAAUCCACACAUCGAGAGCCUGAGAUACGAAUACGAGUGAAAACUAGUAGCGAAGUCCCCGAUUCCCGGCUGCCAAGAAAAGCUGCUAACGAGACCGAAGGUGCCCGUACCGCAAACCGACACAGGUAGAUGGGGUGAGAAACCUAAGGCGCGCGAGAAAACUCUUGUUAAGGAACUCGGCAAAAUGAACCCGUAACUUCGGGAGAAGGGUUGCUCAUUAGUGUGAGUAUCCGUGCGAUACAGAGCACAGAUGAGUCGCAGAGAAAAGGUCCAGGCGACUGUUUAGCAAAAACACAGGUCAUUGCAAAACCGCAAGGUGAAGUAUAAUGGCUGACGCCUGCCCGGUGCUGGAAGGUUAAGGGGAAGAGUGAGAGCUUUGAACCGAAGCCCCAGUAAACGGCGGCCGUAACUAUAACGGUCCUAAGGUAGCGAAAUUCCUUGUCGGGUAAGUUCCGACCCG
Molecule: ribosomal RNA, 1978 nt
Filed under: human gut metagenome
Description: bacterial LSU rRNA
Rfam family: Bacterial large subunit ribosomal RNA
Source: RNAcentral